UAUCAUUCGAAGAUCAUUAACUUCACCUAUGUCAACGAUUUACAGCCACAACCCUCCCUUCUCUCUCUCUGUGCGCGAGGGAGAGGAGGUGUGCUGGUAAAUAAUGGCCAUAUAGAGUCAUAGGGAGCACCAAAUCCUUAGUUACCCCCCGUAGUGAUGUUCUUCUCCGCAAGCAAAAGCCCAAGUGCCAGAAUCCUUCCCCUUCCUGCGCUAUAAAAUCCCCUGCGCUCCCUCCAUUCCCCUACAGUAAAAACCCAAGAAAAAGAAACCAACGGAAAGUAAAAAACAGAGCCCCUUUUAGAGCUAGAAUAGAAAACCGAGUGGGAAAAAUAAUAGGAGCGCUUUAGACCCAGGCAUUGUU
This 361-nucleotide long non-coding RNA is filed under the name Elaeis guineensis (African oil palm). Its description in RNAcentral is "long non-coding RNA (EGUI_LNC000100)". Lineage: Eukaryota; Viridiplantae; Streptophyta; Magnoliopsida; Arecales; Arecaceae. The record is from RNAcentral.